CACCAGGUUGAUUCUGCCUGACGUAGAUGCUAGUCUCUAAGAUUAAGCCAUGCAUGUUUAUGUAAUAAGGACGAACAGCUCAGUAGAACUACGAUUAUUUAGUCUGUUUGAUAAAGAUAACUACGUGAAAAUGUAGCUAAGAGAGAACAGAAUAAGACGUAGGACUAUCAGUUAGUUGGUAGUGUAAUGGACUACCAAGACGAUGACGGGUAACGGGGAAUCAGGGUUUGAUACCGGAGAGGGAGCCUGAGAGAUAGCUCCCACGUCCAAGGACGGCAGCAGGCGCGAAAA
RNAcentral lists this ribosomal RNA (291 nucleotides) under Microsporidium sp. BVIO CYA. RNAcentral describes it as "partial small subunit ribosomal RNA". It matches the Rfam family "Microsporidia small subunit ribosomal RNA", at positions 1 to 299 of the family's 1311-position model. Lineage: Eukaryota; Fungi; Microsporidia. The record is from RNAcentral.